Molecule: ribosomal RNA, 466 nt
Filed under: uncultured bacterium
Lineage: Bacteria
Description: SSU rRNA
Rfam family: Bacterial small subunit ribosomal RNA
Source: RNAcentral
AGAAUCAACGCUGGCGGCGUGCCUAACACAUGCAAGUCGAACGAGAAAGUGGAGCAAUCCAUGAGUAAAGUGGCGACCGGGUGAGUAACACGUGACUACCUACCCUCGAGUGGGGAAUAACCUCGGGAAACCGGGGCUAAUACCGCAUAACAUCUACGGAUCAAAUGCGUAAGCAGCUUGAGGAGGGGGUCGCGGCCGAUUAGCUAGUUGGUGAGGUAAUGGCCCACCAAGGCAAUGAUCGGUAGCCGGCCUGAGAGGGGCGCGACGGACCGACGACCUGGAACUGAAACACGGUCCAGACUCCUACGGGAGGCAGCAGUGGGGAAUUUUGCGCAAUGGGGGGAAACCCUGACGCAGCAACGCCGCGUGGAGGAUGAAGCCCCUUGGGGUGUAAACUCCUUUCGAUCGGGACGAUUAUGACGGUACCGGAUGAAGAAGCACCGGCUAACUCUGUGCCAGCAGCCGC